UAAUACGUAGGGGGCGAGCGUUGUCCGGAUUUAUUGGGCGUAAAGGGCGUGUAGGCGGCUUUGUAAGUCAGGGGUGAAAGACCGCAGCUCAACUGCGGGCAUGCCUCUGAAACUGCGGAGCUGGAGUGCUCUAGAGGGCAGUGGAAUUGCCGGUGUAGCAGUGAAAUGCGUAGAGAUCGGCAGGAACACCAGUGGCGAAGGCGACUGCCUGGGGAGUAACUGACGCUGAGGCGCGAAAGCUGGGGGAGCAAACGGG
RNAcentral lists this ribosomal RNA (256 nucleotides) under uncultured archaeon. RNAcentral's name for it is "partial 16S ribosomal RNA". It matches the Rfam family "Bacterial small subunit ribosomal RNA", at positions 521 to 776 of the family's 1533-position model. The record is from RNAcentral.